This 65-nucleotide transfer RNA is filed under the name Meloimorpha japonica. Its description in RNAcentral is "tRNA-Phe". It matches the Rfam family "tRNA". From Rfam's summary of the family: Transfer RNA (tRNA) molecules are approximately 80 nucleotides in length. Their secondary structure includes four short double-helical elements and three loops (D, anti-codon, and T loops). Lineage: Eukaryota; Metazoa; Arthropoda; Insecta; Orthoptera; Phalangopsidae. The record is from RNAcentral.
GCUUAAAUAGCUUAAUGAGAGAGCAUAACAUUGAAGAUGUUAGUGUGAUGAUAAAUCUUUGAGUA